AUACUUACCUGGAUGGGGUCAAUGGGUGAUCAUGAAGGCCCAUGGCCUAGAAAGGUGGCCUCCAUUGCACUUGGGAGGGGUGCUUUUCUAAGGUCUACUCAAGUGGUGGAGCCUACAUCAUAAUAAAGUUUAAAAUUAAUCUUUUUUUUUUUUUUGAGAGGAUUUGAAAUUAAUUAAAGAGUUGAUUUAUGCAGAAAGAGUUAGCUAAUUAGAUUAGACUAGUAUUUUUAUUUUUUUAAAUAUUCCACAAAAAUGUCCGUAAAAUACUCAUACACGUGAAGCUUGAUAAAAAUGAGUAAAAU
Molecule: long non-coding RNA, 302 nt
Filed under: Medicago truncatula (barrel medic)
Lineage: Eukaryota; Viridiplantae; Streptophyta; Magnoliopsida; Fabales; Fabaceae
Description: lncRNA gene44218
Rfam family: U1 spliceosomal RNA (bases 1-156)
About the family: U1 is a small nuclear RNA (snRNA) component of the spliceosome (involved in pre-mRNA splicing). Its 5' end forms complementary base pairs with the 5' splice junction, thus defining the 5' donor site of an intron. There are significant differences in sequence and secondary structure between metazoan and yeast U1 snRNAs, the latter being much longer (568 nucleotides as compared to 164 nucleotides in human).
Source: RNAcentral